RNAcentral lists this ribosomal RNA (491 nucleotides) under uncultured bacterium. RNAcentral's name for it is "partial 16S ribosomal RNA". It matches the Rfam family "Bacterial small subunit ribosomal RNA", at positions 29 to 505 of the family's 1533-position model. The record is from RNAcentral.
AGUGAACGCUGGCGGUAGGCCUAACACAUGCAAGUCGAACGGCAGCACAGUAAGAGCUUGCUCUUACGGGUGGCGAGUGGCGGACGGGUGAGGAAUACAUCGGAAUCUACUUUUUCGUGGGGGAUAACGUAGGGAAACUUACGCUAAUACCGCAUACGACCUACGGGUGAAAGCAGGGGAUCUUCGGACCUUGCGCGAUUGAAUGAGCCGAUGUCGGAUUAGCUAGUUGGCGGGGUAAAGGCCCACCAAGGCGACGAUCCGUAGCUGGUCUGAGAGGAUGAUCAGCCACACUGGAACUGAGACACGGUCCAGACUCCUACGGGAGGCAGCAGUGGGGAAUAUUGGACAAUGGGCGCAAGCCUGAUCCAGCCAUACCGCGUGGGUGAAGAAGGCCUUCGGGUUGUAAAGCCCUCUUUGUUGGGAAAGAAAAGCAGCAGGUUAAUACCCCGCUGUUCUGACGGUACCCAAAGAAUAAGCACCGGCUAACUUCG